This is a non-coding RNA of Cinara cedri, 523 nucleotides long. The record is from the annotation of a GenBank genome assembly. NCBI's taxonomy places the organism in Eukaryota, Metazoa, Arthropoda, Insecta, Hemiptera, Aphididae.
AUAGUGUAUUGUUACUUACAGAUUUUAAAGGUGUAUACACCUUGUGUAAAGGUGUUUACAAGUGUAUAGACAUGAGGCAAUGGCUUUUAAUUUUAUUUUUUAAAAAUUUGUUUUAUUUAUAUAAUGGUAAUAUGGCAAAUAACAGUUAUUUUUAUUAAUUUGACUUUAAUAUUGGUGUAUCUUUAAAUCAGCCAGUGGAUGAUGGAAUCCAAAAUCAAAGCAACCCACAACACCCUUUUGUGGUAUUGACUCUGAAACUACUGUCCCAUACUUAAAAUACCGAAAAUACCGAAAAUUUAUCGGUUUGGUAAUAUGAUGGUUAGUGUAAUACCAUAUUAUUAGGUGAAGCUGAGCUUUGAGAAAAACAAAUUAGCUAGUUUUUAUUAGUCCACUUAAAAGUUAAAAUACUCUACUAUUUUUAACUGAUUGAUAGUUUAUAACAAACACUUCAGUACAUUACUUUCAUUAGUUCAGUUCAAUAUUGUGUAAGGCAAUGUCAAAUUAUAUGGAAAUAAUUAACUUA